This 409-nucleotide ribosomal RNA is filed under the name soil bacterium LD-P1-3. RNAcentral describes it as "partial 16S ribosomal RNA". It matches the Rfam family "Bacterial small subunit ribosomal RNA", at positions 355 to 754 of the family's 1533-position model. The record is from RNAcentral.
UGGGGAAUAUUGCACAAUGGGCGCAAGCCUGAUGCAGCCAUGCCGCGUGUAUGAAGAAGGCCUUCGGGUUGUAAAGUACUUUCAGAGGGGAGGAAGGUGGUGAGCUUAAUACGCUCAUCAAUUGACGUUACCGACAGAAGAAGCACCGGCUAACUCCGUGCCAGCANCCGCGGUAAUACGGAGGGUGCAAGCGUUAAUCGGAAUUACUGGGCGUAAAGCGCACNCAGGCGGUUGAUUGANUCAGAUGUGAAAUCCCCGGGCUUAACCCGGGAAUUGCAUCUGAUACUGGUCAGCUAGANUCUUGUANAGGGGGGUAGAAUUCCNUGUGUAGCGGUGAANUGCCUAGANAUGUGACAGGAAUACCGGUGGCNAAGGCNGCCCCCUGGACAAAAANUGANGCUCAGGGUGC